This 6046-nucleotide long non-coding RNA is filed under the name Heterocephalus glaber (naked mole-rat). Its description in RNAcentral is "lncRNA (ENSHGLG00100038483.1)". Lineage: Eukaryota; Metazoa; Chordata; Mammalia; Rodentia; Bathyergidae. The record is from RNAcentral.
GUCACAUCUCUAGUUAGAGUUUAAUGGCCUGAGGUUAAUUGUUUCUGACUGGUUACGCUUUAAUUUCAUUCUCCUGUUUACAUUAAGUUGGAUUUGGCUUUGCUUUUGUAUGAACCCAAGGCACUGGAGCUGUUCUAAAGGCUUCCCAUGAAUCAUCUUAACACACUGGUGAGCUCAAUGUAAGUGUCCUUUUCUCUGGAGAGUCUGCUCUAUUCUUUUCCCAUCCCCCGAUUAGAUAACAUUCCCUAUUCUAUCUUCACAGCUAUACAAAUUCUUUGUAGUAUUUUCAUCAGCUGCAUUUUCACAUUUCUGUGUGUGUUUUUUUGUUUAAUGGCUGGGUUUCCUACUAGCAAAUGGAGUCCUUGAAUACAGGGAUAGAUGUGGCCAAAGUUCUGGACUGCCUGGGACAGAGAUGAGCUCAGUAAGGAUGAGUUAAAGACAUGAAUGCUUGCUGGGUGACAGCUGCUUUACACUCAGUGACUGGGAGCCCUAGUUUUCCUGUUAGAACUACUAUAGGCUCUGCAAUUCUCCUGCAGAUGUUGUUUGUUUGGGGUCUCUAUGUCCUGGUCUUAGCUGGGCUCAUUCACAUGUCUGUGGAUAGGCUGGAAGCUGGCUGAUCUAGGCUGGAUUGAUUGGGACCAAAAGGUUUUUAUUUCCUCAUCUUCCAAAUGAUGCUGUAAUACCCAGAGGACAAUUAUCUCAGUAGGGAGAAGUUUCCUAUAACCAUGAAACUUUUAACAAGGGAUCACGACACGUGAGAUUUGAGAGUUUGUGUAGAUGGAAGCAACUUGGGAGAGACUGGAGCAUGGCUUCUCCAUGGCAUUUGGAAAAAUGGUGCACAAUCAGCCCAGGGUCCAUGGCUCGAAGGCAAACCGACCUCCCUCAGGGCUACAAAGGCUCAGAGUUUGGCUUCCAGUGGUGUUCUGGCUAACCUCAAAUCAUGAAAACUUUGGAAAGAGCAGAUUUCGGUGAUCUGAGGGGUUGUCUCCAGUGAAGCAAUAACUUGAAAGGAAACUGAAAUUCAGCAAACACCAGCCCUUCAAGUCCUCAGAGAUGGACUCCCCCACCAGCAAGCUUCUGCAACUCUUCUCCUAUUGGCACUCGCUUGGAAUGGCUUGGGGGUGACUCAGCAGAGGGCCCAAAAUAAAACGCUGUUAAGAGGAGCUUGACUCACCCACAUGACUAGUUACUGGGUCAAUCCAAGGAGGCAGAGCUUGUUGCUUCUCAAAAGUUUCCUUCCCCAGGGGCCACCUGGUGAAGGCGUAUUUGGAAAGUUUCUGUGGGAGGAAAGGAGUGGGGUCAGGUGGGGAAAUGACAUUGACUGGUGAUUGACUUUGGCAUCCUUUGUCUUUGGUCUGAGAUUAGAGAUUAUCUGCUGACAGUCACAGUGAGCCAGCAGGGACAAGGAGCAAGCUGGUGUCAUGCACCAAGAGUUCCUCAGACAUUUCCUCAACAUGGAGCAUGCUGGGUGCCGAGAAGUGCUUUGGCUCUGAGAUUUCUGGAUACACAGAGGUCCUCACUGGAGUUCAUCCUGCCCCGAAUUCAGCUCACUCACAGGCAGGCAGAUGGUUCUUGCAAGGAUGCACAUCCACCCUCCCUGGAAAGCAGAACAUUUCUAAGCAGCAGAACUGAAGUGGUGCUGGGAGUUGUCAGGGGUACAGAAAGGCAGGGCCACCACCUGCCCAUGACCUCAGGGUCCAGGGUCACCCUUUAUUCCUCUCAUUAGGCCACCUAACAUCAGGGACUUCUAGGUUUGGGUUUGUGUUUUUUCCAAAACAAAUAUCAGAUCCACUUCUUUCUCUAUCUCUGUUGCUGGCCCUCACCCUCUUGCCUGAGUAACCUCCAGAAUGGAUCGCACCACUUCUGCCUUCCCCAGGCCCACUCGCCACAAUUCCCUCUCUACAGAGCAGCCACAGUUAUCUUCCUCCAGCACAUUCACCCCUUCAAGGGCGUCCCAUCCAUUCUGGGUAACCAUUACUGUGGAACAGUCUUCCUCCAAACUGGGUAACCAUAAAACAACUGGUACUUUGUUCUAGAUCCCAGUUUGUGGGUCAGGAACACAGACAGGGCUCUGCUGAAUGGGUUUCCUGUUUCACACAGCAUUGGCUGAGGUCACAUAGGUACUCAGAUUGGGGAGAAUCUGAGCUGAGAAUCCUGCCUUGCAUUGGAGCCUGGUUUGGAGAAUCCAGGAUUACUUCACUCACAGGUUUUGGUAAUUCAGUGGAGGCGACUGAAGGGCUGGAGACAGCUGGAAUUGUUGACUGGAGAGCCUAUGUCGCCUCUCUAGCAUGGAGUCCUUAAGAGAGUCGGGUUUCUUACAUAGCAGCUUAGGGCCUCCAGAAGGAGUGUUUCAAAACAAGAAGUGGAAGUUGACCCUUCCUUGAGAUCAAGUAGAAAACCAGCAUAGCAUCAGCUCUGCCAUAUUGUCUUGGCCAAAGGAGUCCUCCUAGAGCCUCUCAGAUUCAAGGGUAGAUGCCACCUCUGGAUGGGAAGAAUGUAUGCUUCUUCUUCUGUUUACCACAUUCCAGCACUCAGAAAGAGAUCACUUUUCUGGCCAACAAGACCCUCAUGACCCAGUUCCCAACUGCCCAUGCCACAUUCUUCCUCCCACAUCACCCUUAAACCACAAUGCACUCCUUCCUGUUCAACAAACACACCAAGCUUUCUACUCUUAACCUCAGAAACUUCAUACCUGCUAUUCCUUCUGUCUGAAAUGUCUUCCCCUAAACCCUUCUCAAGGCUGGCUCCUCCUCAUCCCUCAGGUUUCAGUUCAUGUCUCCUCCUUAUGCUGUGAGUCCCCUCCAUAGCAGAUUCUUCCAGCAAACCCCUACGACCAGUCUAUCACCAGGCAGUCUAGAAUGUUCUGGGCUCCCUGUAGAGACUGAAAGUAAGAACCAGUACUUAGCUCUGGGAGGUAAAGACGCAUGCUGUUGUUGGAUGGGAUGAGUCUCAACUCUGCCUGUGGGUAGUUGUUUGCUCCCCAAGCCUCACUGUUUCUCAUCCAUUAAGCAAGGAUAAAUGGCAUUCACUUAAGAGUGUUGCCAUAAAAAAGGAAACGAGCCUGCACACAUGUAAGCACCAUGCAGAGUCACUGGACACGGUAGAGUUUCCAUAAAUAUUACUUAAAAGACAGAACAAUGUUUUCCCUCCCCUACAUACAAGACUGGUUUCAGUCUAUAAUUUCCAUGUUACUAGACAUUCUGGUUGGGGCUCUGGGUUCCAGAUGUUUUCUUGUGUUUAAUUUGAGAGUGGUAAUCUCAGCCAGCCCAGGUCACAGAAUUCGUAGCAUUCCAUUCCUUACAGGGAGGGCGAGCAUGGGGGACUUGGAUCAGAGCAAACAAGCUUAGGAGCCGUAGGAGCAAACGCACAGCAGGCAAGAGAGAUUUUUUAAUAAUAGAUGUUAAAAAAUGAAUCCAAACAAGGGAAAUAUACCCACCGACUAGGGAUAAAUGUAAUGUCUAUCAUGGGCUGUGAUAUAUGUCUGCUCUGAGACCAGCUCGACAAAAGGCCAAAUUUUCUUAAAAGCAUGUUAAAAUAUUAAUAGAUAUUUGAAACAGUUUUCCUGCAACUGCUGCCAGUCUUGGGGAAGAUUACAUCAGGCUGGAAAGAACAGGGAAAGACGCUGCAAUGUCUUUGCUGUGGUGACCUGCCUGGGGCACCUCAGAAGCCACUUCAACAGGGCGGGCUGCGGUCUGGUGCGGGGGGGCCCUCAGGCUGCAUCUGUGUGAAUCAGAUGUGUGGAGAAUUUGAUGACUGGCCUCAGGGGCUGUGAUUCACUCCCUCUGGCAGGUUCUGCCAUCCUUUACGUGGUCUAUCGAGGUUCACUGGGUUGGCUCCAACCUCCCACUGGCCUCUUCUUCCCCCAGCCCCUCUUAGCCCCACGUCUACCGAUUAUUUUCAGACUCUUAUUCACCUCGUUCCCGCCUAUGGCAGGGCUUUCACUUUUUCUUUCUUUCUAGAACAUUCUUUCCUCCCUAUCUGAGAUCUCUUAUCUGUCGCCUACCCAUCUACGGCUUUGUUGGGGGGUCACACCCUCUCCAGCACCCCUGUAAGAUGUGUGUAAGUUCCCUACGGUCACUCCUUUCUCAUUCUCUCACUAGGAGUCUACGAGGAUGUAUUAAUCAACACUCCAUUGCUGGGACAAAUUACCUGAUAGACACUACUAAAGGGGAAAAGGGUUAUUCUGGUUUAUGGUAUCAUCCAUGCUCUGCUGGCCCCAAGGCAGAAACAUGACGGAAGAGCAUGGCCGAAGAAAGCUGCUCACCACAUGGCUUCUGGGUAGUAGAGUGGGAGGGGACCCUAAGAGGAAGUUCCCACCCCCACGCCUCCAUGACCCACCCAGACACACUCAGAAGUGUGCUUUGCUAAUCUCAUAGGCAUUGCUCCAGUCACGGAAGCUGACAGUGAAUGUGAACUAUCACGGUGGACAGAAGUGGCUAUAGGCUAUCUCUAGCCUCCUUAGGAACGCUGUGUGGAUGGGACUUGCAUGUAUUUCCCCUCAUCAUUGCAUCAACAGCACCUGGGACAGUAGGGAACCGAUAAAUAACUGAACAAAUGAAUAAAUCCAAGAAGGUUACCCAACACAGCACGAGGAUCAGGCAAAUCUUCACAAUCCCAAGAAGUGGGGGGGAUCCGCUGUGGUGUCUUAAUAGCCAUAUGGACUCGAUCCACCAAUCAACCUUCAGUCUCUUUCCUUGCCUUUGCAGUGAAAACAUAUUUUAAAAAGGAAAAAAUCCAACAUGCAGAGGGUCACUGGGAUCUCUGACCUAAAAGCGACAGGCACACUGGUGCCAACUUAACUAAUGCACUCAUCCAUGGCUUGCAGAGUUCUUUACUCAGGAGUUGUCCUCACAUCUUCCCCAGGCUCCCUAAAUCCACCGGAAUUAAUGGGACCCCCCCGCAACGAUCCGACCCUGGACUUCACUGUUGUCUUUGACUCUUCCUUUGUCACAUCCCUUCUGCAGCAGAUUGGUCAGUGAGCUCUGCUGAAUUCCCCACAACCUCUCUAGCACCAGCCCCUUCUUCUCCAUCCAGCCCCCUGCUUCCCUCCCUCCCCCUGCUUCUCUCCAGGAUGCUUUGCCUGUGGCAACAGUCUUCUUCCUUCAUCUUACUUCUUGCAAGAGUUCCUUCUGGUGUGUCCUUUUCUGGUGACACCUGGUAAUAUUUCUAAGUUACAAAGCUUCCAUUCAGCAGGAAUUUAUUGAUGAUGCUAUUACAGGACAGCCACUGUGAAGACACCAGGGAUGCUAGGGAAAUAAAGCUGCUCCUGACCUCCCAGGGGAGACAGAUGUGUAGCCAAUGACAGGUUUCUAGUGGGAAGAAAGUGACAGAUUCCUUAGAGCAGUAAAAAAAAAUGCCAAAUGACAUAGAAGUGGAAAGAGGUCGUUUAUUUAUUUCCUCUCUUCUUCUUCCCUCCUUCCCCUCCUCUUUCUUUUCCUUCUCUCUCUCUCCCCUUCACGCAUUCAGAAAACACUGUGCAGUGACAGGCUGAAUAGAUAAGAUAUGACAGAGAGUAGAGGCAGGGUGUGGAAAUGGAAUCUGGGUUUCUUGAAUCUUCUCUGCUUUUGACUUUGACCAAUGGAAUUUAUAUAUUUUUAAAGCUUAUUUUUUAAUUGCAAAAGUUGCUACCCUAUGACCUAGAAAUUCCUCAAAUAGAAAAUAUUCACCAAAAAGCCAUGUGCAGGAACAUUGGUAGCAACACUGCAAGUGCAAUUGCCCAGAGAGGAGAAAGUCCUUAAGUGAUACAAUACUAUCCUCAGAAAAUGGAAUACUAUACAACAAUGCCAAUGAAUGUAGUAGAAAAAGUUUGUGGUUGAAUUUCCGAAGCAUGAUAGUACAGGAAAGAAGCCACUAGAAAAAUGUUGUUAAAUUUUGACUCCAUUAUUAUAAAAAUCAAAACCAAACUGUUCUUGUCUAGGGCACUAAGGUUCAUUCAUAUUAUUAAUUGUUCAAUUAUGAUUAGAGCAUUUUUGUAUGUAUAUUACAUUUUAAUAAUAAUUUUAAAGAGUUUUAAGAAGAAUGAAGGAAUAAAUAUGUAUAAUCUGAC